Long non-coding RNA from Lolium perenne, 1457 nucleotides. RefSeq lists it as uncharacterized. Lineage: Eukaryota; Viridiplantae; Streptophyta; Magnoliopsida; Poales; Poaceae. The record is from RefSeq and is a predicted model, not a curated record.
AUAUACAUUCUUAAAUUGAAGAUGUUGAUAUACACAUGCCACUACGGGUUCUUCAUCAAAAUCACACAUAGCCUGAUCGUGUCUCGUGUUCACUUGAUGGUGUGGCCUCGACGAAAUGCUAGGCUGGCUCAAGUGCCCGCAUGGCUGUGAAGGAAACAUGUGGGUACAAAUGAAAUUGAGUCCAGGUCUGAAGAUGACCAUGACAUGACGGUAUGUAAUGUACUGACUAUUGCUACACAUAAACUCACUUGACAUGAAUUGAAAUUUCUGGUAUCACCAUCUUCUCUUGAGGAUAUUAUUGCCUUUCGAGUUUAUUGGUAUCACUAUCUUCUCUUGGCUAUUAUUUAAUUUUUAUCUCAUGUUCACCAUGUUACGUGAAACAAGGAACGCGAUGGUAUUACUAUUUUUUCUGCAGAAUGAUUUUGCUCCAAAGAAACUCUGGUAAUCAUGAGUUUAUUAUAUGCGCCUCCUAGAAGAUAGCAGCCACCCGUGGACGAGAAGGUGUCACAUAAAGAUGACAGCAACUCAGCAAGUGCUCUGGCUCCUUCGGUCCAUGCUGAAAAACCAACGAAUAAGCAUCCUCCUCCUGUAAAGACCACAGCUGGGGUCUAAAGCAUACUAAAUUUACAAAUUUGGUCAUUAGGUGUUUGCCUUUGGAAGUAUAGGCAUCUGACAGUGAGCAUGAAGCACGGACUUUUGAAGGAAUUGCAUUGCACAAUGCUUAUGCGUUCAUAUUAAAUUACUGAGAGAAAAAGCUGCACCAAUUCAUCCUCAAUAUAAACAUCUAGGUGAUAGUUCAGCUGCUGUUUUCAGACGUGGGAUGGUAACUUCAGAACUUAUAAUUACAGUACAGGGGUAGGUUACUGGUAGCAUGCUCAGGCAAGAUGCUAGGUAUAGAUUAAAUAAUUGUUUUCGAAAUGUCCCUAGUCAAGUGACUACAUAAGUUAUAUGAUCGCCUGGUAUAUUUAAAUUCUGCCUGAUGCCAUUUUUCUUAGUCUGCCAAUGUAGAACAGGCAACCUAUUCUAUUCUAUGGGUUCUAAGGCUCCUGUGUUAACAUUCAGAUGAGGUGAGAAUAAUUUAAUCUGGGCAGACCGCGAGGUGUUGCACUUGGUACAUCUGUUGCUCAAUGGGCUGUUAAUUCCAAUGCGUGUGGUCUCAUUCCACAUCACGGAAAAGGAAAACAAAUUCUUCUGAAAACAUAUCAUUCUCCAACAGGGAUUUUUUUUUCCUCCAUAUUGUAUUGCGGUGCAUGUAUUGGGAACUGGAGAGCACACAGGUUCUUCUUCCGUCGUUAUUGAGGAACUGGAGAGCAGUGGAAAAAUGCGAAGCUUCUGUUCAUCGAUUGAUUUCUUUUUUGCUAAGUGGGUUAGGUGGCGACACCAGCUUCAAGCAAUUAUGUUUAAGUUCAGUGUUGAUGCGCGAGAUGAGAACUGUGCAGCCCACAUGAGAAUAAUUU